UGGGGAAUAUUGCGCAAUGGGCGAAAGCCUGACGCAGCGACGCCGCGUGGGGGAUGAAGCUUUUCGGAGUGUAAACCCCUUUCGACCCGGACGAAUGACCCGCAAGGGUUUGACGGUACGGGUAUAAGAAGCCCCGGCUAACUACGUGCCAGCAGCCGCGGUAAUACGUAGGGGGCCAGCGUUGCUCGGAAUUACUGGGCGUAAAGGGUUCGUAGGUGGUGCGGCAAGUUGGAAGUGAAAUCUCUGGGCUUAACCCAGAGGCUGCUUUCAAAACUGCCGUGCUCGAGUGCGAGAGAGGUCAGUGGAAUUGCAGGUGUAGCGGUGAAAUGCGUAGAUAUCUGCAGGAACACCCGUGGCGAAGGCGGCUGACUGGAUCGCAACUGACACUGAGGAACGAAAGCUAGGGGAGCAAACAGGAUUAGAUACCCCCGUAGUCC
This 437-nucleotide ribosomal RNA is filed under the name uncultured bacterium. RNAcentral describes it as "bacterial SSU rRNA". It matches the Rfam family "Bacterial small subunit ribosomal RNA", at positions 355 to 796 of the family's 1533-position model. The record is from RNAcentral.